GACACCACAGGUAUAAAACAUGUAGGACACCACAGGUCUAAAACAUGUAGGACACCACAGGUCUAAAACAUGUAGGACACCACAGGUAUAAAACAUGUAGGACACCACAGGUCUAAAACAUGAGGGACACCACAGGUCUAAAACAUGUAGGACACCACAGGUCUAAAACAUGAGGGACACCACAGGUCUAAAACAUGUAGGACACCACAGGUCUAAAACAUGUAGGACACCACAGGUCUAAAACAUGUAGGACACCACAGGUCUAAAACAUGAGGGACACCACAGGUCUAAAACAUGUAGGACACCACAGGUCUAAAACAUGUAGGACACCACAGGUCUAAAACAUGUAGGACACCACAGGUCUAAAACAUGAGGGACACCACAGGUCUAAAACAUGUAGGACACCACAGGUCUAAAACAUGUAGGACACCACAGGU
This is a long non-coding RNA of Austrofundulus limnaeus, 437 nucleotides long. RefSeq lists it as uncharacterized. The record is from RefSeq and is a predicted model, not a curated record. NCBI's taxonomy places the organism in Eukaryota, Metazoa, Chordata, Actinopteri, Cyprinodontiformes, Rivulidae. The transcript has 3 exons.